Non-coding RNA from Lactuca sativa (garden lettuce), 385 nucleotides. Lineage: Eukaryota; Viridiplantae; Streptophyta; Magnoliopsida; Asterales; Asteraceae. The record is from RefSeq and is a predicted model, not a curated record.
UCUUGCUCAUCUCCCUCAUUAAUGAGUUCAUUGUGUGAUGUUUUGGGAAAUUGGGAAUUUGGAAUCGGAAGUCAAAUACAUUCAAUUUGUUCUUAAUUCACUCUCAUCUCAAACACUCGUUUUCUUUUUUUCCAUUAUAAAUUUGGAAUUGGAGGUAUCCAUACUCCCAGUAGCUCUUAAAAACAGCGAUUCUUAGCCUCAAUUGGCCUCUCAAUGUAAAAUAUCAGGGAACCGUUAAGCAGGUUUGGAACUCAACUUUUGGGGAUUAACGCGCUGGCGUUAAUUAUUUCUUUUGAAAGAUGUUUAUGCAUUUAUCUUUUGAGUAUGUAAUGAAUACAAUGAUGUAAACAUUUUAAAAACCUUUAUAUAUGUAUGGUGGUGUGUA